UGGGGAAUUUUGGACAAUGGGCGAAAGCCUGAUCCAGCAAUGCCGCGUGUGUGAAGAAGGCCUUCGGGUUGUAAAGCACUUUUGUCCGGGAAAGAAAUCCUUGGCUCUAAUACAGUCGGGGGAUGACGGUACCGGAAGAAUAAGCACCGGCUAACUACGUGCCAGCAGCCGCGGUAAUACGUAGGGUGCAAGCGUUAAUCGGAAUUACUGGGCGUAAAGCGUGCGCAGGCGGUUUGCUAAGACCGAUGUGAAAUCCCCGGGCUCAACCUGGGAACUGCAUUGGUGACUGGCAGGCUAGAGUAUGGCAGAGGGGGGUAGAAUUCCACGUGUAGCAGUGAAAUGCGUAGAGAUGUGGAGGAAUACCGAUGGCGAAGGCCAGCCCCCUGGGCCAAUACUGACGCUCAUGCACGAAAGCGUGGGGAGCAAAACAGGAUUAGAUACCCCUGGUAGUCCACGCCCUAAACGAUGUCAACUAGUUGUUGGGGAUUCAUUCCUUAGUAACGUAGCUAACGCGUGAAGUUGACCGCCUGGGGAGUACGGUCGCAAGAUUAAAACUCAAGGAAUUGACGGGGU
RNAcentral lists this ribosomal RNA (573 nucleotides) under uncultured bacterium. RNAcentral describes it as "partial 16S ribosomal RNA". It matches the Rfam family "Bacterial small subunit ribosomal RNA", at positions 355 to 919 of the family's 1533-position model. The record is from RNAcentral.